This 329-nucleotide ribosomal RNA is filed under the name uncultured eukaryote. RNAcentral's name for it is "partial 18S ribosomal RNA". It matches the Rfam family "Eukaryotic small subunit ribosomal RNA", at positions 1470 to 1796 of the family's 1831-position model. The record is from RNAcentral.
CCCUUAGAUGUUCUGGGCCGCACGCGCGCUACACUGACGAUGGCAACGAGUUUUUCCUUCGCCGAAAGGUGUGGGUAAUCUUUUGAAACAUCGUCGUGCUGGGGAUAGAUUAUUGCAAUUUUUGAUCUUGAACGAGGAAUUCCUAGUAAGCGCGAGUCAUCAGCUCGCGUUGAUUACGUCCCUGCCCUUUGUACACACCGCCCGUCGCUACUACCGAUUGAAUGGUUUAGUGAGGACUCCUGAUUGGCGCCGCCGCCCCGGCAACGGAGCAGCGGACUGCCGAAAAGUUGUUCAAACUUGAUCAUUUAGAGGAAGUAAAAGUCGUAACA